GCUCACGUAGCUCAGCUGGUUAGAGCACCGUUCUUAUGAGGUUACCUGCUUGUUCUAGAGAGCGGCAUCCAAUGCGGGGGUCCUGAGUUCAAUUCUCAGCGUGAGUA
Molecule: non-coding RNA, 107 nt
Organism: Mycena vitilis
Lineage: Eukaryota; Fungi; Basidiomycota; Agaricomycetes; Agaricales; Mycenaceae
Source: the annotation of a GenBank genome assembly